UGCGUAGGCGGCGCCGUAAGUCGGAUGUGAAAUCUUCGGGCUCAACCCGGAAACUGCAUUCGAUACUGCGGUGCUUGAGGACUCGAGAGGAGAUCGGAAUUCACGGUGUAGCAGUGAAAUGCGUAGAUAUCGUGAGGAAGACCAGUGGCGAAGGCGGAUCUCUGGAGAGUUCCUGACGCUGAGGCACGAAGGCCAGGGGAGCAAACG
Molecule: ribosomal RNA, 207 nt
Filed under: uncultured bacterium
Lineage: Bacteria
Description: partial 16S ribosomal RNA
Rfam family: Bacterial small subunit ribosomal RNA
Source: RNAcentral